Molecule: ribosomal RNA, 1517 nt
Filed under: Clostridiales bacterium
Lineage: Bacteria; Bacillati; Bacillota; Clostridia; Eubacteriales
Description: bacterial SSU rRNA
Rfam family: Bacterial small subunit ribosomal RNA
Source: RNAcentral
UAACUUAAGAGUUUGAUUCUGGCUCAGGACGAACGCUGGCGGCAUGCCUUACACAUGCAAGUCGAACGGAAGUAGAAAUACUUUAGUGGCGAACGGGUGAGUAACACGUGAGCAACCUACCUUUUACAGGGGGAUAACACAUAGAAAUGUGUGCUAAUACCGCAUAAGACCACGUUUCCGAAUGGGAGCGAGGCAAAAGGAGAGAUCCGGUAGAAGAUGGGCUCGCGGCCUAUUAGUUAGUUGGCGGGAUAAAGGCCCACCAAGACGUCGAUGGGUAACCGACCUGAGAGGGUGAACGGUCACACUGGAACUGAGAUACGGUCCAGACUCCUACGGGAGGCAGCAGUGGGGAAUAUUGGGCAAUGGAGGGAACUCUUACCCAGCAAUGCCGCGUGAGUGAAGAAGGUCUUCGGAUUGUAAAGCUCUUUGAUUGGUGAAGAAAGAAAUGACGGUAGCCAAGGAACAAGCUCCGGCUAACUACGUGCCAGCAGCCGCGGUAAUACGUAGGGAGCAAGCGUUGUCCGGAAUGACUGGGCGUAAAGGGUGUGUAGGCGGCAAGACAAGUUAGAAGUGAAAUUCCCAGAGCUUAACUCGGGAGCUGCUUCUAAAACUGUAGAGCUUGAGUACGGUAGAGGUAAAUGGAAUUCCUAGUGUAGCGGUGGAAUGCGUAGAUAUUAGGAGGAACACCAGAGGCGAAGGCGAUUUACUGGACCGCAACUGACGCUGAGGCACGAAAGUGCGGGGAGCAAACAGGAUUAGAUACCCUGGUAGUCCGCACCGUAAACGAUGGAUACUGGCUGUAGGAGGUAUCGACUCCUUCUGCGGCGAAGCAAACGCGAUAAGUAUCCCGCCUGGGGAGUACGGCCGCAAGGUUGAAACUCAAAGAAAUUGACGGGGACCCGCACAAGCAGCGGAGCGUGUUGUUUAAUUCGAAGAUACUCGAAGAACCUUACCAAGACUUGACAUCGUAUGACCGUCGUAGAAAUAUGAUUUUCCUCAGCGAUGAGGACAUAUAGACAGGUGGUGCAUGGUUGUCGUCAGCUCGUGUCGUGAGAUGUUGGGUUAAGUCCCGCAACGAGCGCAACCCUCAUAAUUAGUUGCCAAUAUUAAGUUAGGAACUCUGAUUAGACUGCCGUGGAUAUAACACGGAGGAAGGCGGGGAUGACGUCAAAUCAUCAUGCCCCUUACGUCUUGGGCUACAAACGCGCUACAAUGGCUGUUACAAAGAGCGGCGAAGCAGAAAUGCGGAGCAAAUCUCAAAAAAGCAGUCUCAGUUCAGAUUGUGGGCUGCAACCCGCCCACAUGAAGAUGGAGUUGCUAGUAAUCCCGAAUCAGCAUGUCGGGGUGAAUGCGUUCCCGGGUCUUGUACACACCGCCCGUCACGCCAUGGGAGUUGGUAGUACCCAAAGUCGGUGAGCUAACCGUUAAGGAGGCAGCCGCCUAAGGUAAGACCAAUGACUGGGGUGAAGUCGUAACAAGGUAGCCGUACCGGAAGGUGCGGCUGGAUCACCUCCUUU